CAGACAACUAGGAGGUUGGCUCAGAAGCAGCCAUCCUUUAAAGAGUGCGUAACAGCUCACUAGUCGAAUGACUCUGCGCCGAUAAUUUACCGGGGCUAAGCAUACUACCGAAGCUAUGGAUCCCAAGGGAUGGUAGGGGAGCGUUCCAUGAACGGAGAAGUACGACCGAAAGGACGUGUGGAGAUCAUGGAAGAGAGAAUGCCGGUGUGAGUAGCGGAACGUGGGUGAGAAUCCCACGCACCGAAAACCCAAGGUUUCCAGAGGAAGGUUCGUCCGCUCUGGGUAAGUCGGGACCUAAGGCGAGGCCGAAAGGCGUAGUCGAUGGACAACAGGUAGAGAUUCCUGUACCCGUAUAUAUGUGAAGGAAUGACGGAGAGAGGAAGCUGCAGCCAGCGGCUGGAAGAGCUGGUGCAAGCGAGAUAUCGGGAUGGCAGGCAAAUCCACCAUCCGAAACGAGAAGGCGUGAAGCGUACGGAAAGCUACGGCGAGUACGGAAGGCAGUGGAGGAACUUCCAAGAAAAGUUUCUAACGUUAAGUAUAUAUGGCCCGUACCGAAAAUGGACACACAUGGGUGAGGAGAGAAUCCUAAGGUGAGCGAGAGAACUAUAGCUAAGGAACUCUGCAAAAUGACUCCGUAACUUAGGGAGAAGGAGUGCUCAUAGAGAUAUGAGCCGCAGUGAAACGGCCCAAGCGACUGUUUACCAAAAACACAGCUCUCUGCUAAGCCGCAAGGCGAAGUAUAGGGGGUGACGCCUGCCCGGUGCUGGAAGGUUAAGGGGAGGGGUUAACGCAAGUGAAGCCCUGAACUGAAGCCCCAGUAAACGGCGGCCGUAACUAUAACGGUCCUAAGGUAGCGAAAUUCCUUGUCAGGUAAGUUCUGACCCGCACGAAAGGCGUAACGAUUUGGGCGCUGUCUCAGCUGUAGACUCGGUGAAGUCUUAGUACCUGUGAAGAUGCAGGUUACCCGCGACUAGACGGAAAGACCCCAUGGAGCUUCACUGCAGGUUGAUAUUGGGAUUUGAUGCAGCAUGUACAGGAUAGGUAGGAGGCAAAGAGAUGGAUACGCCAGUAUUCAAGGAGCCGCUGUUGGGAUACUACCCCUGUUGUAUUGGAUUUCUAACCGGACGACGUAGAGCCGUUGACGGGACAGUGUCAGUCGGGCAGUUUGACUGGGGCGGUCGCCUCCCAAAGAGUAACGGAGGCGCCCAAAGAUACCCUCAGCUUGGAUGGAAACCAAGCGCAGAGUGCAAAGGCAAAAGGGUGUUUGACUGCGAGACCCACAAGUCGAGCAGGGACGAAAGUCGGGCUUAGUGAUCCGGCGGUGCUGAAUGGAAAGGCCGUCGCUCAACGGAUAAAAGCUACCCUGGGGAUAACAGGCUGAUCUCCCCCAAGAGUUCACAUCGACGGGGAGGUUUGGCACCUCGAUGUCGGCUCAUCGCAUCCUGGAGCUGAAGUCGGUUCCAAGGGUUGGGCUGUUCGCCCAUUAAAGCGGUACGCGAGCUGGGUUCAGAACGUCGUGAGACAGUUCGGUCCCUAUCUGUCGUGGGCG
This 1549-nucleotide ribosomal RNA is filed under the name human gut metagenome. Its description in RNAcentral is "bacterial LSU rRNA". It matches the Rfam family "Bacterial large subunit ribosomal RNA", at positions 1086 to 2653 of the family's 2925-position model. The record is from RNAcentral.